ACGCUUCGGCAGCACAUAUACUAAAAUUGGAACGAUACAGAGAAGAUUAGCAUGGCUCCUGCGCAAGGAUGACAUGCAAAUUCGUGAAGUGUUCCAUAUUCUU
RNAcentral lists this small nuclear RNA (103 nucleotides) under Panthera tigris altaica (Amur tiger). The record is from RNAcentral. Lineage: Eukaryota; Metazoa; Chordata; Mammalia; Carnivora; Felidae.